AGAUCUGCCCCUAGUACGAGAGGACCGGGGUGGACGGACCUCUGGUGGAGCGGUUGUCGACCAACGGCACCGCCGCCUAGCUACGUCCGGCACGGAUAACCGCUGAAAGCAUCUAAGUGGGAAGCCGUCUCCAAGAUGAGUCUUCUCUUUGGUAAGGGCCCAGGUAGACUACCUGGUCGAUAGGGCGCAGCUGCAAGCACGGCAACGUGUUCAGGCGAGCGCUACUAAUAGCCCGAGCUCUUCUUCACAA
RNAcentral lists this ribosomal RNA (250 nucleotides) under Gordonibacter urolithinfaciens. Its description in RNAcentral is "partial 23S ribosomal RNA". It matches the Rfam family "Bacterial large subunit ribosomal RNA", at positions 2668 to 2925 of the family's 2925-position model. The record is from RNAcentral. Lineage: Bacteria; Bacillati; Actinomycetota; Coriobacteriia; Eggerthellales; Eggerthellaceae.